This 219-nucleotide ribosomal RNA is filed under the name uncultured bacterium. Its description in RNAcentral is "partial 16S ribosomal RNA". It matches the Rfam family "Bacterial small subunit ribosomal RNA", at positions 1283 to 1500 of the family's 1533-position model. The record is from RNAcentral.
ACGUCUCAGUUCGGAUUGCAGGCUGCAACUCGCCUGCAUGAAGUCGGAAUUGCUAGUAAUCGCGGAUCAGCACGCCGCGGUGAAUACGUUCCCGGGCCUUGUACACACCGCCCGUCACACCAUGAGAGCCGGGAACACCCGAAGUCCGUAGUCUAACCAUUAAGGAGGACGCGGCCGAAGGUGGGUUUGGUAAUUGGGGUGAAGUCGUAACAAGGUAGC